AACAAGCAAGCUGAAUUCUUAUCGGGGGAAAAAUAUGUGAGGCCUCGUGAAUGCAGAGUUGUGGCCCGGCAACUAAAAAUUGGAGAAUGCGCAACGGUAUUUUUUGUCCUGGCCGUUUCGUACUUGUAAUGCAGGUGCGCGCGCGAGCAUCGCGCGUGCCGUACCUCAGGUUCAGAGAAACCAGGCGGAGCAACUCGCGGCCAGUUGUGCGUUGUUUUACGUGAUUUAUUAUGGUUUCAUACUUUUACUUUUAUGGGAAGAUAUGCCCGAGCAAACUGUUCAUGGUUUGCCUGGUUUCUUUGGAGGAAGGACAGACUUCGGACAACACAGCAACACGCGAAUGUCAACGAAAUACAAGCGACCUCCUGUAGACUACGGUACGCCGCAAACUUCUGCUUGUUCUCCUGAAACCGCAGCCACAAAAUACUCAGCCUGUGGCGACAUCAAACGGCAAACUGGGGGACGGGGGGACUCUCGUCCAGUAAGCUGAGGGUUCGCAUCUCCUUCUCACCUGCUUCACUUUGGCCACGUCGCGAAUGAAGGCUUCGUCAUCUACGAAGUUCAGAAGCUUCUUCAGCUGGAAGAGAUACGGAAGCCUUGGUAUUCAGUGCUGCCCUCCCACCACUGCAAAUGCUGCUUACCUGUGUGAGUAGAGUGUGUGGGUGUGAUUGAACAUCUGAAACGAGGUUAUGUAAUCAAUGGGCGAGGUCUGGAUGGAUUUCUGCGGGG
Molecule: long non-coding RNA, 729 nt
Organism: Anguilla rostrata (American eel)
Lineage: Eukaryota; Metazoa; Chordata; Actinopteri; Anguilliformes; Anguillidae
Exons: 3
Source: RefSeq, a predicted model, not a curated record